This 439-nucleotide ribosomal RNA is filed under the name uncultured bacterium. RNAcentral's name for it is "partial 16S ribosomal RNA". It matches the Rfam family "Bacterial small subunit ribosomal RNA", at positions 339 to 795 of the family's 1533-position model. The record is from RNAcentral.
CUACGGGACGCUGCAGUGAGGAAUAUUGCACAAUGGGGGGAACCCUGAUGCAGCAACGCCGCGUGGAGGAUGACGCAUUUCGGUGUGUAAACUCCUUUUAUAUGUCAAGAAAAUGACGGUAGCAUAUGAAUAAGCACCGGCUAACUCCGUGCCAGCAGCCGCGGUAAUACGGAGGGUGCAAGCGUUACUCGGAAUCACUGGGCGUAAAGGACGCGUAGGCGGGUUGGAAGGUCAGGUGUGAAAUCCUACAGCUUAACUGUAGAACUGCACUUGAAACUUCUAAUCUAGAGUAUGGGAGGGGGAGAGGGAAUUAGUGGUGUAGGGGUAAAAUCCGUAGAUAUCACUAGGAAUACCUAAAGCGAAGGCGAUCUCCUGGAACAUUACUGACGCUAAGGCGUGAAAGCGUGGGGAGCAAACAGGAUUAGAUACCCCCGUAGUC